This is a non-coding RNA of Equus caballus (horse), 625 nucleotides long. NCBI's taxonomy places the organism in Eukaryota, Metazoa, Chordata, Mammalia, Perissodactyla, Equidae. The record is from RefSeq and is a predicted model, not a curated record.
AAGGAAAGUUGUCUGGCAUGUUGAUUCCUCUCUGUCAAGGAGGCAGCAGUGGGGUCAAGGUGACAACUGGAACUGGAGCUACUCCUCCUGCCAACUGGCCAGAUUUAGGCCAGCAAGAGGACUCCCUCAAAUCAGGCUUCUGGCCAUGGAGUCCAAGGGCUUCCCUUAGGAGAGGCCAGCAGAAGCACAUUUCUCUGACUUCUGAUCUCCUUCCUGUUGUUGCAAGAGUGUCUUAUAAAACACAAUGCAAUCAGGGGAGUGACUGUCUCACCAUCAUUUGCCAAGCGAUCAAAAGGAGGGGAUUCACCAAGCCACACCUGGAGCAGGAUUUUUAGCUUUUCACCCAAUUAAAAACCAGUCAGGCCACGCCCAUUAGAAUGGUUCUUUGAGGGACAUUGAAGCCCAAGGGAGUGCCUAUCAAAAAAAAAAAGAAAAGAAAAGGAAGAAAGAAAAUAACAAGUGCUGGUGAGGAUGUGGAGGAAUUGGAAACUUUGUGCAUUGCUGGUGGGAAUGUAAAAUGGUACAGUGCCGUGAAAAACAGUAUAGCCGUUCCUCACCAAAUUAAAUGGAAUUACUAUAUGACCCAACAAUUCCACUUCUGGUAUAUACCCAAAGAAAUUGAAAG